ACUUAGCCUGUGUGGGUCUCCAUU
Molecule: microRNA, 24 nt
Filed under: Monodelphis domestica (gray short-tailed opossum)
Lineage: Eukaryota; Metazoa; Chordata; Mammalia; Didelphimorphia; Didelphidae
Description: mdo-miR-12385-5p
Source: miRBase by way of RNAcentral